GGGCUUGGGCCCGCGUUUUGUAAUUGGAUGAUAGAAAUUUAAACACUUUUUAAAGUAUCAAUUGGAGGGCAAGUCUGGUGCCAGCAGCCGCGGUAAUUCCAGCUCCAAUAGCGUAUAUUAAAAUUGUUGCAGUUAAAAAGCUCGUAGUUGAAUUUUUGCUGGAAAUAACCGGUCUGCUUUUAUUAAUAAGAGUGGUAUCUUGGUGUGUUUUUAGCAAUAAUGUCCUUUGAAAUGUUUUUUACUUUAUUGUAAGAAGCAAUAUUCAGGAUUUUUACUUUGAGAAAAUUAGAGUGUUUCAAGCAAGCUAACGUUUUGAAUACUGCAGCAUGGAAUAAUAAAAUAGGAUUUUGGUUCUACAUUAUUGGUUUUAAGAACUAAAUUAAUGAUUGAUAGGGACAGUUGGGGGCAUUUGUAUUUAACUGUCAUAGGUGAAAUUCU
RNAcentral lists this ribosomal RNA (438 nucleotides) under Hepatozoon fitzsimonsi. RNAcentral's name for it is "SSU rRNA". It matches the Rfam family "Eukaryotic small subunit ribosomal RNA", at positions 487 to 920 of the family's 1831-position model. Lineage: Eukaryota; Apicomplexa; Hepatozoidae. The record is from RNAcentral.